CAAGAAGAGAGAGAAAUAUAUUAAUUCCUAUAAAAAUGACAUGGUCCCAGCAGAUUUGUCCUAAAUAAAAAUAUAAUAAAUUGAGGGCUCCACAUUCUCUUUAUUGCUCGUUCAUUCCAAAGACAAAAGGAAAUGACUUUUCUUCUUCAGCCAAGAUUCCAUCUUCUUCCUUCUUAACUAAAAACAAUGGAAAUUCUGUUCCAACUAAUUUUUUCCAAAAUUAAAACUACAUGUCCAAAUCAUAGUAAAUUAAACAUGCAAAUUAUUUGAAGAUUGGUGUUCGAUUUUGGUUGUCAUUCUUGCCGAUAUUAAAAGAAAAAGUUGACAUUUGAUGCUAAAAAAGAAUCAAAAAUUAGUUCCAGAUAUUGAUUUUUUAAAAUCUAAAUCAAGCUCAAUUACUUGGAUUUUCUCCCGCCACUUCCAUUUACUAAUGAUUUCCGGGAUCUUCCAAAAAAGUUAUGAAGGUCAUGCAUGACAAUAAUGAAUGACAUACAAAAGUGCUCCACAUCAGUGAGCAUUAAAUGAUUUUGCACAAAAAUAAGCAACAUUUUGCUUCCAAGUUGUGUAUAAAAUAUUUUAUCUUGAUGGUAUAUAUGUACCAAAAUAAGAUUCAGCUCUUCAUUUUCUUAUUUAAAAAUUUGGCAACAGAAAGUGACUGUAGAUUGAAGAGAAACAAAGAGAAGAAACAAGUUCAUAGAUUUAUACAUUUAGAAGAGAGUUUCGUGUAACUUUACUUGACUUUUGGAUAUCUCUUUGAGAGUGCACUGAUCAACAAUGGUGUAUUUUUCUUUGGGUGAAAUUUACUUUACUUGAUUCAGCUGUAAUCUACAAAGAUCCCAAAUAAAAGGAGGGAAAAUAGUAUCUUGUUCCCUCCAUUUCUGUUGUACGUAU
Molecule: long non-coding RNA, 891 nt
Organism: Lycium ferocissimum
Lineage: Eukaryota; Viridiplantae; Streptophyta; Magnoliopsida; Solanales; Solanaceae
Exons: 2
Source: RefSeq, a predicted model, not a curated record